Molecule: unclassified non-coding RNA, 253 nt
Filed under: uncultured Caryophanales bacterium
Lineage: Bacteria; Bacillati; Bacillota; Bacilli; Caryophanales
Description: uncultured Bacillales bacterium contains 16S-23S intergenic spacer region
Rfam family: Bacterial small subunit ribosomal RNA
Source: RNAcentral
UACGUAGGUGGCAAGCGUUGUCCGGAAUUAUUGGGCGUAAAGCGCGCGCAGGCGGUCCUUUAAGUCUGAUGUGAAAUCUUGCGGCUCAACCGCAAGCGUUCAUUGGAAACUGGGGGACUUGAGUACAGAAGAGGAGAGCGGAAUUCCACGUGUAGCGGUGAAAUGCGUAGAUAUGUGGAGGAACACCAGUGGCGAAGGCGGCUCUCUGGCCUACAACUGACGCUGAGGUGCGAAAGCGUGGGAAGCAAACAGG